RNAcentral lists this ribosomal RNA (654 nucleotides) under Staphylococcus aureus. Its description in RNAcentral is "bacterial SSU rRNA". It matches the Rfam family "Bacterial small subunit ribosomal RNA", at positions 1 to 637 of the family's 1533-position model. The record is from RNAcentral. Lineage: Bacteria; Bacillati; Bacillota; Bacilli; Caryophanales; Staphylococcaceae.
UUUAUGGAGAGUUUGAUCCUGGCUCAGGAUGAACGCUGGCGGCGUGCCUAAUACAUGCAAGUCGAGCGAACGGACGAGAAGCUUGCUUCUCUGAUGUUAGCGGCGGACGGGUGAGUAACACGUGGAUAACCUACCUAUAAGACUGGGAUAACUUCGGGAAACCGGAGCUAAUACCGGAUAAUAUUUUAAACCGCAUGGUUCAAAAGUGAAAGACGGUCUUGCUGUCACUUAUAGAUGGAUCCGCGCUGCAUUAGCUAGUUGGUAAGGUAACGGCUUACCAAGGCAACGAUGCAUAGCCGACCUGAGAGGGUGAUCGGCCACACUGGAACUGAGACACGGUCCAGACUCCUACGGGAGGCAGCAGUAGGGAAUCUUCCGCAAUGGGCGAAAGCCUGACGGAGCAACGCCGCGUGAGUGAUGAAGGUCUUCGGAUCGUAAAACUCUGUUAUUAGGGAAGAACAUAUGUGUAAGUAACUGUGCACAUCUUGACGGUACCUAAUCAGAAAGCCACGGCUAACUACGUGCCAGCAGCCGCGGUAAUACGUAGGUGGCAAGCGUUAUCCGGAAUUAUUGGGCGUAAAGCGCGCGUAGGCGGUUUUUUAAGUCUGAUGUGAAAGCCCACGGCUCAACCGUGGAGGGUCAUUGGAAACUGGA